Molecule: long non-coding RNA, 674 nt
Filed under: Anser cygnoides (Swan goose)
Lineage: Eukaryota; Metazoa; Chordata; Aves; Anseriformes; Anatidae
Description: lncRNA (ENSACDG00005015639.1)
Source: RNAcentral
AGGGCGGCCGCGCACCCGCCGCUCCUCCGCCCGCCCCCCGUGCACGGCGCAGGUUUGGGAGGUGGGGUUUGCGCCGAGCUGCCCGGCUCCCGGCCGCUGCCGCUCAAUGCUGCGGCCGCGGGGCUGCUGCGGGAGCCGCGCACCUCGGGGCUCCGCGCACGGCGGGCAGGCGGCGACCACCGAGCCCGGCACAGCCCAGCACAGCCCGGCACAGCCCAGCACAGCCCAGCACAGCCCAGCAUGCCCCCCGCCCCGGCCAGGUAUUGGAAACUUGACUGAAGACUACGUAUCAUGCACUGGAGAAGGUAACAGUCCUUUAAUACUAAUUUUGAUUUAUUGAUACUAUUUUAUAUGGUCUUAAAGCAAUUGCAUUAAAUGUCUGGAUUUUCUUUGUGUUGUUUGUGCCUGAGACUACAGAAUCUGUCCCUGAGUUUCUCGGUACCUUGAGAGUAGGUUUUGUUUAAUUCUUGAAUUCUUGAAUUCUUUACUUUCCACCAGUCGGUGGAAAUUUUUGUUUAAAUUCCUCAGGAUGCAUAUUGCAUUUAGGCAAUUUUAUAUUUCAAGAUUUAUAGAAAACAUGGAGUAGCUUGCCUUCAGAAAACUUUCUGUAAACAUGCCAUUGUUUAAAACAAGGUAUCUAAUUUGAACAAACAGUUUACAAAAGGAGAUUGGUA